GGGUGGUAAUGCUGGAUGCUCCAACUUGACGCAUGUCUUGUUGGGGAAAAGUGUUUAGUGGCAUGGGGGAUGGGGUCGCGUCCUAUCAGCUUGUAGGCGGGGUAAUGGCCCACCUAGGCUUCGACGGGUAGCCGGCCUGAGAGGGCGGACGGCCACAUUGGGACUGAGAUACGGCCCAGACUCCUACGGGAGGCAGCAGUGGGGAAUAUUGCGCAAUGGGGAAAACCCUGACGCAGCGACGCCGCGUGCGGGAUGAAGGCCUUCGGGUUGUAAACCGCUUUUGUAUUGGGGAGCAAGCCUUUUGGGUUGAGUGUACCUUUCGAAUAAGCGCCGGGCUAACUACGUGCCAGCAGCCGCGGGUAAAUA
RNAcentral lists this ribosomal RNA (366 nucleotides) under uncultured Gardnerella sp. Its description in RNAcentral is "bacterial SSU rRNA". It matches the Rfam family "Bacterial small subunit ribosomal RNA", at positions 158 to 525 of the family's 1533-position model. Lineage: Bacteria; Bacillati; Actinomycetota; Actinomycetes; Bifidobacteriales; Bifidobacteriaceae. The record is from RNAcentral.